UACGUAGGGGGCUAGCGUUGUCCGGAAUCAUUGGGCGUAAAGGGUGCGUAGGCGGCGCGGUAAGUCGGGUGUGAAAUCUCGGAGCUUAACUCCGAAACUGCAUUCGAUACUGCCGUGCUUGAGGACUGGAGAGGAGACUGGAAUUUACGGUGUAGCGGUGAAAUGCGUAGAUAUCGUAAGGAAGACCAGUGGCGAAGGCGGGUCUCUGGACAGUUCCUGACGCUGAGGCACGAAGGUCAGGGGAGCAAACAGG
RNAcentral lists this ribosomal RNA (253 nucleotides) under uncultured bacterium. RNAcentral's name for it is "partial 16S ribosomal RNA". It matches the Rfam family "Bacterial small subunit ribosomal RNA", at positions 524 to 776 of the family's 1533-position model. The record is from RNAcentral.